ACAUAAAAUGUGUACUUGCUGUAAAUAUGGACAAAGAACGAUUCUGUGGACUUUAGGUGGGUAUACGGUGAGUAUUUGGGUGCCCAUAAAGGAUCUACAUACAUGG
RNAcentral lists this small nucleolar RNA (106 nucleotides) under Macleaya cordata. The record is from RNAcentral. Lineage: Eukaryota; Viridiplantae; Streptophyta; Magnoliopsida; Ranunculales; Papaveraceae.